CAGUAGCCGCGGAAUACGAAGGGGGCUAGCGUUGCUCGGAAUGACUGGGCGUAAAGGGCGCGUAGGCGGCGAUCAAAGUCAGGCGUGAAAUUCCUGGGCUCAACCUGGGGGCUGCGCUUGAUACUUGGUUGCUUGAGUGGGGAAGAGGGUCGUGGAAUUCCCAGUGUAGAGGUGAAAUUCGUAGAUAUUGGGAAGAACACCGGUGGCGAAGGCGGCGACCUGGUCCUUGACUGACGCUGAGGCGCGAAAGCGUGGGGAGCAAACAGGAUUAGAUACCCCUGUAGUCCCUGUCUCUUAUACA
RNAcentral lists this ribosomal RNA (301 nucleotides) under uncultured bacterium. Its description in RNAcentral is "partial 16S ribosomal RNA". It matches the Rfam family "Bacterial small subunit ribosomal RNA", at positions 509 to 808 of the family's 1533-position model. The record is from RNAcentral.